RNAcentral lists this long non-coding RNA (244 nucleotides) under Gallus gallus (chicken). The record is from RNAcentral. Lineage: Eukaryota; Metazoa; Chordata; Aves; Galliformes; Phasianidae.
CUGUGUCUUUGAAUCGAUGAACCUGCUGUAGUGCUGGCUGACAGUCUUGAAUAUUCAUUUUCCUCUGGUACACCAUUUGAUACUGAAUUUCCAUUUUCAGCAGUCACAGAACUGGACAGUGGAUUAGAAGACUGAGUUCCAUGGUUAUUUGCAUUUUUAUCCUGCGUUUCUGAUCCAGUAUCUGAUGCAUUUGGAUCUUCUCUGCUCCUCAAGUUCAGGUUAGUUUCACCACCUUCUGGCUCCC